Nothoprocta perdicaria is the source of this 368-nucleotide long non-coding RNA. RefSeq lists it as uncharacterized. NCBI's taxonomy places the organism in Eukaryota, Metazoa, Chordata, Aves, Tinamiformes, Tinamidae. The record is from RefSeq and is a predicted model, not a curated record. The transcript has 2 exons.
CCAGCACGGCUGAAUGUUCUCCCAGCUUCAUCCUGCGCUGUGUCGACAGGCUCACGUUCUUGGCCAAAUAAUCAACAGCAGCUGAAGAAGAGCAGGACAAACGUGUCCAUGACUUGCCACCUGGAUGUCUCUGGGCAUUGGGACACAUCUGGACUUACUCUACUGACCAUGCUGGCCCCCAAACAUCUGGCAGCCUCUGGACUAUAAACCAAGGCAGGAUUCUGUGAUUCAUCCAUUCUAUGAUUCUCCUGACUCCAAACCAAGCCCACUGGACUCAACCUCCAUCUCAGACCCAGACCUCUAAAUUGAAUGGGGUUCAACAGAAAAAAAGGGAGCUCUGUGACCCACAUGGGGAAAGGGGGCCAAGC